RNAcentral lists this ribosomal RNA (244 nucleotides) under uncultured bacterium. Its description in RNAcentral is "partial 16S ribosomal RNA". It matches the Rfam family "Bacterial small subunit ribosomal RNA", at positions 796 to 1041 of the family's 1533-position model. The record is from RNAcentral.
CUAGCCGUAAACGAUGGGUACUAGGUGUGGGAGGUAUCGACCCCUUCCGUGCCGGAGUUAACGCAAUAAGUACCCCGCCUGGGGACUACGAUCGCAAGAUUGAAACUCAAAGGAAUUGACGGGGGCCCGCACAAGCGGCGGAGCAUGCGGAUUAAUUCGAUGCAACGCGAAGAACCUUACCAAGGCUUGACAUAUAGAGGAAACGGCCAGAGAUGGUCGCCCCGCAAGGUCUCUAUACAGGUGG